Molecule: long non-coding RNA, 159 nt
Organism: Papaver somniferum (opium poppy)
Lineage: Eukaryota; Viridiplantae; Streptophyta; Magnoliopsida; Ranunculales; Papaveraceae
Exons: 3
Source: RefSeq, a predicted model, not a curated record
CAAUAGAAUACAUGUUGGAUAGACGGUGAAUCCUAUAUUGUAUGAUAAUGACACCAAUGUUCGAAAUUUUAUAUAUUGGACAAUAGAUAAUGGCAAGCAGACACGUUGUUAUAAUACUCUUUGUCCUGGAUUUGUUCAAGUUGAUCCACAACAUCCACC